Molecule: long non-coding RNA, 3999 nt
Filed under: Canis lupus familiaris (dog)
Lineage: Eukaryota; Metazoa; Chordata; Mammalia; Carnivora; Canidae
Description: lncRNA (ENSCAFG00845029338.1)
Source: RNAcentral
UUUUUUUUUUUAUUUUAUUUAUGAUAGGCACACAGUGAGAGAGAGAGGGGCAGAGACACAGGCAGAGGGAGAAGCAGGCUCCAUGCACCGGGAGCCCGACGUGGGAUUCGAUCCCGGGUCUCCAGGAUCACGCCCUGGGCCAAAGGCAGGCGCUAAACCACUGCGCCACCCAGGGAUCCCGGAGGGCCCUUCUUAUAUGCUCAUCUCACUGGUCCCUUCCUUCCUCUCUCCCUUCUGCUCCUUUGCUCAGAAGCCACAAAAUAGCCACAAAAUGGAGUCUCCUUCCUUCAGGGUGCUGGUCCAGAGGAGCCUCUGAAAUAUACCCCUCACCCCGUGUCUAUUUAAUAAAAACCUAAUAAAAAGGAAAAUACCUUCUUGGGGUGCCUGGGUGGCUCAGUCAGUUAAGUUCUGCCUUUGGCCCAGUUCCUGAUCCCAGGAUCCUGGGAUGGAAUCCCGCAUCAGGCUCCCUACUCUGCAGGGAGUCUGCUUCUCCCUCUGCCCCCUCUCUUUCACAAGUGCACACUCCAGCUGUCUCAAAUAAAUAAAAUCUUAAAAAAACAAACAAACAAACCCAAACCUACCUUCUUUAAAAAGACAGAGCCUCUGUAUUUGUUCUCAUUCAGGCCCCUAAGCUGCCAAAGGAAAAACAAUCGCAAAGGAAAAUAACAAAGCACUUUAAUUAGGAGUUUUCAGGGUCAAAUUUGGCACAAGUCUGUCUCCCUAGGCAAGCACUGACUACUCUAUCCUGUCCUUGCUAGCAUCCCUAAGCAUCCCUGCUAGGCUGGAGGGCCCUGGAGGCAGGAAUUAUAAAAGGAGGCAGGAAUUAAAAAAGGACGCAUGCACUGGUCAGAUCUCAGAUCCCAAAGGGACCAUGGAGUCUCAGAAGUCAACCAGGAUCCCACACUCGCCAACAGUGCUGAAACCAGAAGCCUGUGUAGCCUGAAUAUGCACAGUCAAUACCUACAGGUUGCGUUCAGUUUGUGAUUUACUAGAAGAGGAGCAAAAAUGAUCAAGUCUUCCCAAAUCAGUGUCCAGGCUUAGUAUAAUUCCAGACAAACCCCAUAGAAUAAAAUUUGACUGGAAGAAUGGUGAACACUGCUAAGAGAAUUUGGACAAAAAGAGAAAGAAAGAUAAAGGUGUGGUAAGUGGAGGAGGACUUGCCUGCCAAACGGCACGAUUACAGAGCCGGGGAAGACGUGGAGGUGGAUCUAUUCACCAAAUGCUUGGUAAACUACUGGGGAAAAGAGUUCAGUUGAUUCUUGCCAAAUGAUUACAGAGAUCUGUAAAAUGGACACUAUCAAAGUCAGAAGGAAAUGGUUAGUUGUUUGAGGAUGCACAAAGAUUUCUUGGGUACAAAAGCCAUUAAAGAAAUCCAAAGGCGAAGUACAAGCAUUUGACUCUACAAAAUGCUGAAUUUUUUGUAGGAUAAAAAGUCAUGAACACUCUGUAGUUAGACAAGAAAAGUCCGGAUAGUGAGAUGAGGGGUGCUGUUUAGGUGCCACCUCACCCUAGCACCAUAUGUUGAAGUAACAAAACAUAGACUUGUCUUCCAAAACACAGCAGCUGGUUUCACCCCUGCUGCGAGGUGUGACACCUUGGCUCAUUUCCGAGGACUCAAAGGUUCAUGGGCAAUCCCACCUAUGAAGGUGCCCUUUGCUUACCACACAGGAGAAAUUACCUGUCUCCAUUCAUUUUUAAGUAUUCUUGUAAUCAAAUCAGAGUUAAAUGCAAAGGGAUGUUAGCUAUUUGGGGGAAAAAACUGGCUAUUUUAUCAAUAAAGAAAAAAACGUCUUGGGAUGCCUGGGUGGCUUGGUCAGUGAAGCAUCUGCCUUCAGUUCAGGUCAUGAUCUUGGGGUCCUGGGAUGAAGCCCUGUGUUGGGCUCCUUGUUCAGUGGAGUGGCUGCUCAAGGAUUCUCUCCCUCUCGCCCUGUCCAUCCCCAUACUCCCGCGCUCUCUCUCUCUCAAAUAAAUAAAUAAAAUAUUUUUAAAAAAAGAAAAAGAAAAAAAAAGUCUUAUAAAGCAAAUAAAGUUCAUUCAGCUUCCUAUUUAAAGUAGCUAAGUGGAUUUUGGUACUUUAUAUUUCUGAGAAAGGAAUUUUCUAUACUUUGUGUGAAAUGAUAUAUUUUCACAUCAUAUAUGUGAAAACCAAAGUAUCCAUUUAGUUCAUUUAUUAUGUUAACCUAUUAUGUUAACCUAUUAUGUUAACCUACAGUUAAUUCAUUAAAAAUCAUAGGAUACAAAUAUUUCCACCAAGUUUGAUUUAUGAAUUACUCAACUUUUGAGAAUUUCAAGGGAGUGCAGGAUCACAGGUUAAUACCUCCAUUUACUAUCACUUGACUACAUGCAUAAUCAAAUAAAAAUGAGAAAUAAGCUCACAGCAAUAAUCAGAACAUCGCCUGCAUUUGUUUUUCAUUUGGAUACUAAUGAAGCUCAGCAACAUCAUCUGAAUCACUCUUAACAGAUGCUUCCUAAAUACAAAUCAAUGCAGCUUUCUAACCUUUCCCACAAGUUUUGGGGGUAUUUAAAGUUACUGGGGGGGGGGGGGUCCUUACCACCAAAGAUUCUUGACCAGAAUAAGACAUGUCCCGCAGGAUGGAAUAUCAAUAGCCUCAUCCCCACAACCCCUUUGCCAUAUCCAGCUUUAUUUUCUGAGAGUCUUCUUUAAAAUGACUCUGUUUAGGCUUUCAUCAAACCAUUAACAAGUUCAAAAACUGUUUCCACCACAAAAAGCAAUGCAUUCAGUCAACAUAAUAAUGUUUCUGAGUCAGUUUGCUAGUGACUAUAUUAACUUGUGUGGUUCUAUUCACAAUCUCAGCUGACACUCCACACUUCUCAAGAAUGAUAUUAAAAAUACUUAAUGACAUGGGUCAGCCUGGGUCUUGAUCAAUCACAAUAGAUGCUGGCCACAAACUCAGAGGUUGAAAGUUCUGGACUAUCUGGCUCAUUGGUGCAGGUUCUUUCUCUUCCUCCUCAUCCCUGACUUCACAAACUCCAUCCCGGCUCCUGGAGGUGGGCUUCCUGGUUCUGCUUUGAUCCCCUUCUGCUUGGCCUGUGGUCUCUUCAUGGGUAAAUUCAUCAGCUCCUUUGUUUCAGUCCCCACUGUGCCCUAAUGACUUUGUCUCCAGCUGCUAAUUGAAAAUUUCUAUCUGGAUAACAUACAGGACUUUUGUAGGGGUCAAGGGCAGGCCACCCCAAGAUGUGCCACCAGGCAUGAAACCAGCAGACCUGGGAAAAGCUCUUUACUUCCCCCUCAAUUGCCUGCAGGUACGAGGAAGAAAGUUAUUACCAGAGAGGCCUCUGUACCUAAGAAACUUACCUGCAUAAUAGGACAAUCUCAGACUCCUAUCCCUCUUCUUAGCCUCAUGUUGCCUAAACUAUCUUAGGAAUCUCAUGUCUGUGUGGAUUCCCCAUACAUAUGUAAUUAAAUUUGAUUUUCUCCUGUUAAUGUGGUUCACAAGAACCCAUCUACUGGACUCUUAGUCCAACUGGAAGGACCCUGAAAGGCAGAGGAAAUUCUUCCACUGCAACACUUUUAAAUUCAAAAUAUUACAAAAAAAAAAAAAAAAUCACACUCGGUAUUCCCUCCUACUUUCUCCCUCCGCCCCACAUCCCCACAUGCAGAAGUAUGUAAAUGCACGCGCACACACACAUGCACCCCCCCCCCCCCCACACACACACUUGAUAGGUCCAUUUUUCUCAAAACACCCCUUUCCUUGACUUCUGUGAUACCACCCUAAUCAAGAGGUCCUAGAGACUACCUCCUUCUCAUGCUCUGGAAACAUCUGUGAAACAAAUCUUGAGAUAAAUUCAUUCAGCCCUGGAGACCUUUGAAUGUCUGCUUGUGGCUGUGCCCUCUCUGAUGGUGGUGUCACCUUUCCGAGGGCUCCUCUGCUAGUCCUGCUAGCCCACCACUCUCCCUUGAAACCCUGAAAUACGAACUCUAGCUUCCCCUGUUCACCUCCUCCCUUCAGCGCAAAAAAAAAAAAAAAAAAAAAAAAA